This 207-nucleotide ribosomal RNA is filed under the name uncultured bacterium. RNAcentral's name for it is "partial 16S ribosomal RNA". It matches the Rfam family "Bacterial small subunit ribosomal RNA", at positions 568 to 774 of the family's 1533-position model. The record is from RNAcentral.
CACGUAGGCGGCAAGGUAAGUCAAAGGUGAAAGCCCUCGGCUCAACCGAGGAAUUGCCUUUGAAACUGUUUUGCUUGAGUCCGGGAGGGGGGAGCGGAAUUCCCAGUGUAGCGGUGAAAUGCGUAGAUACUGGGAGGAACACCGGUGGCGAAGGCGGCUCCCUGGACCGGUACUGACGCUGAGGUGCGAAAGCGUGGGUAGCAAACA